RNAcentral lists this long non-coding RNA (5337 nucleotides) under Podarcis lilfordi (Lilford's wall lizard). Lineage: Eukaryota; Metazoa; Chordata; Lepidosauria; Squamata; Lacertidae. The record is from RNAcentral.
CGGCCUUUACUCGCCAUUGUCCUUGUUUCCCGUCAGUGACAUCAUCACACGCCCAAGUCUGAUUGACAUAGGCUCAUUCACUCCAUGAUCUCUGCUUGGCUCUGCAUGUGAAGGAGGGAGCUGAAUCUCCACGCAAAGCAAUUUGCGGGGAAAUAUAUCCACGCCACCAAACAACUGCUUACAACCUGGGCAUUGAAAAUGGAGAACAUUCAGCACACAUUUAUACUAUAUAUAUAAAAGGUAAAGGUACCCCUGCCCGUACGGGCCAGUCUUGACAGACUCUAGGGUUGCGCGCUCAUCUCACUCUAGAGGCCGGGAGCCAGCGCUGUCCGCAGACACUUCCUGGCCACGUGGCCAGCGUGACGAAGCUGCUCCGGCGAACCGGCACCAGAGCAGCACACGGAACGCCGUUUACCUUCCCGCUAGAAAGCGGUACCUAUUUAUCUACUUGCACUUAAUUGUGCUUUCAAACUGCUAGGUGGGCAGGAGCUGGGACAGAACGACGGGAGCUUACCCCGCCGCGGGGAUUCGAACCGCCGACCAUGCGAUCGGCAAGUCCUAGGCGCUGAGGUUUUACCCACAGCGCCACCCGCGUCCAAUACUAUAUAUAUAUAUAUGUAUGCAAUUUCAAGUGUUCUACCCAACCAACACACAGGUGAGCCAAAUUAGUGUGUAUAUAUGCCCAUAGGCUCUUCAUCAAAAAGGUAUGUUUACCAUCAUGAUGUUCAAUGUAAUUCAACACCUUAUAGGUGUUAAUAGCAGGGGUGUAGGAAGGGGGGCGGUUGGGGCGGCUCGCCCUGGGUGUCAUCCCUGAGGGGGGUGACAGAAUCCCUCCUGGGCAGAUCACUGCCGUGCCAAUCGCCCCGCCCCCCCGACAGAUCACCCCACCCCAAGGUGCAUGGCAUGUGUGCCGCUCCAGGAGCCCGAGCGGCUAGCUCCGCCACUGGUUAAUAAUAAUAAUAAUAAUAAUAAUAAUAAUAAUAAUUUAUUAUUUAUACCCCGCCCAUCUGGCUGGGCUUCCCCGGCCACUCUGGGCGGCUUCCAAAAGAAUAUUAAAAUACUAUAAUACAUCAAACAUUAAAAGCUUCCCGAAACAGGGCUGCCUUCAGAUGUCUUCUAAAAGCCUGGUAGUUGUUGUUCUCUUUGACAUCUGGUGGGAGGGUGUUCCACAGGGAAGGCGCCACUACCGAGAAGGCCCUCUGCCUGGUUCCCUCAGUGCUGGACCUCAGUGUCCGGGUAGAACGAUGGGGGUGGAGACGCUCCUUCAGAUAUACUGGACCAAGGCCGUUUAGGGCUUUAAAGGUCAGCACCAACACUUUGAAUUGUGCUCGGAAACGUACGGGGAGCCAAUGUAGGUCUUUCAAGACCGGUGUUAUGUGGUCUCUGCGGCCGCUCCCAGUCACCAGUCUAGCUGCCGCGUUCUGGAUUAGUUGUAGUUUUCGGGUCACCUUCAAAGGUAGCCCCACGUAGAGCGCAUUGCAGUAAUCCAAGCGGGAGAUAACCAGAGCAUGCACCACUCUGGCGAGGCAGUCCGCAGGCAGAUAGGGUCUCAGCCUGCGUACCAGAUGGAGCUGGUAAACAGCUGCCCUGGACACAGAUUUGACCUGUGCCUCCAUGGACAGCUGUGAGUCCAAAAUGAUGUCUUAUGUAUCCUGUGGUCUGUGUUUGCCUUAGCUUGAGUCUGGACUAUGGGUGUUCUGAUUCGAUACAUGAUAUCCAAUCACAGAACAUUUCAGGAUUUGGGCAUCUGCCAUUGGCCCUUAAACUCUGUGUCAUGAUUCGCAGCUUGGAAGUUUAGACAGCCAAUCCCGUUGGGAGUGGGAGUGGUCCAGGCCUUCAGAAAUGUAUAUAAGCAGUUGCUUUGCCCCUGUUGUCCAGUUCUGUUUGUUCAAUAAAGGUUCGUGCUGUUAUGACUGUGUCUUGCCUCGUGGGAACCUACCUACACUUCAAGAUGUAUCCUUGAAAGUGGCAGAAUUAAUAACUGAAGAUAGGAUGGGUCAUUUUUGGAUGACCAGAGGUCAUUUGAGUUUGGCAGCAAGCACUUGCAUGGAGGAAAACCCUUUAUGACUGAAAGAUAUUAAACCAGUAGCCCAUCUCUUCCAGCACCCUGUUCUCACAGUGGCCAACCAGAUGCCCCAAUAGGAAGGCUGCAAGCAAGACCUGAACACAAGAGCACUCCGCCCACCUACAACUCCCAGCAACUGAAUCCCUGUGAACCUUCCUCUUUUUUAAAGUUUCCAUGCAUACAAACAUACUGCCUUUCUGCAUCAUUAAGUAUGCUUAAUGUAUUUGCACUGAGUAAUAUACAAAUAACUUUUAUUUCUGAUGUUGUAAACGAAAUCUGCCCCUUUUCCCUUACGGGGUAUCCAAGAGCUCGUAUAGAGUCCUUAAGUGGGUUCCCUAUCAGUAGGAGAAAAUAACAGAGGCCAACCAGAGAAUGCAGUGGUACCUCAGUUAAGAACUUAAUUAGUUCUGGAGGUCUGUUCUUAACCUGAAACUGUUCUUCACCUGAAGCACCACUUUAGCUAAUGGGGCCUCCUGCUGCCACUGCGCCGCCGCUGCACGAUUUCUGUUCUCAUCCUGAAGCAAAGUUCUUAACCCGAAGUAAUAUUUCUGGGUUAGUGGAGUCUGUAACCUGAAGCAUAUGUAACCUGAAGCGUAUGUAACCCGAGGUACCACUGUAUUGAGAAGCAAAGCAGCUAGUAAGCCUAAUCUUUAUUAAACUUCUGCAACAGGGUCCUCACUCACCACAUACCCUUACUUUUGAAAUUGCCACCCUGUAGCUCAAGACACCGCCCCCCCAAUACAUCAUACAUACAUCACAGAAGGGGUGGUCUACAGCAGAAUCCUGCCUGGCAGGAAACCUGUUAAUGGUCACUAAUUGGAUUACCUGGGCAGCCUGGCCAUUCUUUUGUGAUUGUUAAUACUUUAGUUCCUGAAUCCAGGUCACAGGCUCACCCUAAUCAUACCCAAAUGUGCCCUUAAGGCAGGAUUUGUGAGCACAGAGACAAUGGGGAGGCUUUUCCCAUUUCCAUCCAAACUGCAGAGGAAUAUUUGAAGUCGAUCUGGGAGAGUCAAAAUGGUUUCAGGACUAUUUUCCUGUACUGUUUCAGACAUGUGGUUUAUGUAUUUAUGUAUGUGUUCGCCUUGUAAAUUUAUGAACAUUUAAUUUAUAUAUUUGAGACCUUAAAUUCUUAUAACACUGGGAAAUUGCUGUGAUACGUGCACUCAUAAGGUGAUGCAGAGGUGAGUUUACUGCUCUUCCUGACACUUUUGAGAUCUUUACACACACCACAGGAAUGAUGUGCAGCUACGUGUUCAGGAGAUACAUACCUCAAAAGAAACAAGAGUGGAUUCUUGAAGGAGAGUUUUAUGGCCACUAACAUUUGCCAUUAUGACUGCCAGCGGAAAUAUUAGAGCACUUAUGAUUCAAUGUAGUAACUGAUCACCGCAGGAGUAAGGGCAAAGAUUCUACUGCAAUAUUACUGUGGUAUAAAACAUCAUACAUCAAAAGACAAAAGGCAGAAAUUCCCCCUCUGCAUAACAGUAUAACUGAUGGAUGAGAAUCCGGAAUGUUUUGUUUAUUGGUUUAUCUGACCUCUCUCUUGAAACAUCAGUUUUAGGUGCGGCAAGACAGAUAUUGAACUUGUAAAAAUGAUCUUGCCCUGUGUUGCAAAAUAAAAUUAAUUUGGAGGUCUGGGGUGGGGGUGGAAUUGUGUGGGCUUGCUGGUACUUCGAUCCAAGAACAAUUUCCAAACCAAAACCCUUUCCCAGGUGAGCUACGCACCCACUGACUAAUGGAUACAGGCUGAGCCCAAGAUAUUUUGGUACCUGUGGCAUAAAAUCCAAAACUCUGCCCCCUUCUCACUAAUUAACAUGGGGCACAGUUCCUAGGAAGAGUCCUGGAAAAAGAGGAGGAACGAGUGAGGGAGCUGGGUAUGUUUAGCCUGGAGAAGAAGAGACUGAGAGGAGAUAUGAUAGCCAUCUUCAAAUAUCAGUGUCCAGCCCGGACACUGAGGUCCAGCUCCGAGGGCCUUCUGGCAGUUCCCUUGCUGUGAGAAGUGAGGUUACAGGGAGAGGGCCUUCUCAAUAGUGGCGCCUGCCCUAUGGAACGCCCUCCCAGCAGAUGUCAAGGCAAUAAACAACUACCGUAUUUUUUGCUCUAUAAGACUCACUUUUUCUCUCCUAAAAAGUAAGGGGAAGUGUGUGUGCGUCUUAUGGAGCGAACGCAGGCUGCGCAGCUAUCCCAGAAGCCAGAACAACAAGAGGGAUCACUGCUUUCAUUGUGCAGUGAUCCCUCUUGUUGUUCUGGCUUCUGAGAUUCAGAAUAUUUUUUUUCUUCUUUUCCUCCUCCAAAAACUAGGUGCGUCUUAUGGUCUGGUGCGUCUUAUAGAGCGAAAAAUACGGUAUUUUACUUUUAAAAGACAACUGAAGGCGGCCCUGUUUAGGGAAGUUUUUAAUGCCUGACACUGUAUUGUUUUUAAUAUUUGGUUGGAAGCCGCCCAGAGCGGCUGGGGAAACCCAGCCAGAUGGGCGGGGUAUAAAUAUUAUUAUUAUUAUUAUUAUUAUUAUUAUUAUUAUUAUAUCUCAGGGGCUGUCUCAUGGAAGAUGGAGCAAGCUUGUUUUCUUCUUUUCAAGAAGAGAAAACCAAUGGCAUCAAGUUACAAAAAAGGAGGUUCUGUCUAAACAUCAGAAAAACUUUCUGACGGUAAGAGCUGUUCAACAGUAGAAUGGAUAUGCACGUGUCGUGUAUGCUUUAGUUGAGAUUCCUGCAUUACAUUUGACUAGAAGACUCUCAGGAUCCCUUCCAACUCUACAAUUCCAUGAUCCUAUGUGUCAGAGCUUCACCCAAGCUGAAAUGACCCCUCCCUCUAUUUUCUUGGUGAAGGGAGAAAUGUUCACUGUUUGGGAGAGGGGAGGGUGGGCAAAAUUGGAACAAAGCAAGAUGGCAUCCCAGCAACAUCUCCUUUUGUUCCCUCAGAAGAAGAAAAAACCCUUUGAAGAAUGGACCCUUUGAAGCCCAUGUCAUUGAAAGACUCUGCAACUACCCCUCAUUAAGAUCGGGGAUAAUAAAGUGUUGUUAGUAGUUCCAAGGUCAAACCACAGUUCCUGCUAUGAUAAUAGAAGUGAGGAGCACAUUACCUUGUCAAGUUAAUACAGUGUGAUAGACUUUCUCAGGCAGCACAUCCAGAAAGACUGUAAACGUCUAAUAGAUUUAGGGAAACUGUACCUCAGGGGACAUAUUAGAAAGAAGCCAUCAAUGGAUCAAAUUGCUCACUGAGUAUUACUUAUUGGGGACCAGCAUGGUUUUAAAUGAUUGCUCUCUUAUCAAAAGCC